This 440-nucleotide long non-coding RNA is filed under the name Rhinopithecus bieti (black snub-nosed monkey). RNAcentral's name for it is "lncRNA (ENSRBIG00000045227.1)". The record is from RNAcentral. Lineage: Eukaryota; Metazoa; Chordata; Mammalia; Primates; Cercopithecidae.
CAAGUUUGGGGUCCACUGAGCCAGAGGAGCAAUAGCAGUAACUUGGACCUUAAUGAGGGAACGGCUGGAAUAGGUCCAGAUGGCAAGGGAAGGAGUUGCAGAACUGCCUCGGUGCUGCUGGUUGGACAGUUAUUCUCACCAACAAGAAGGCAGACCACGGUGAGUCUAUCUGCAGCUGGUCCCGCUUACUGAGGGGAAAAGAGAAGACUUCCCCCUGUAACCUGGCUGGAAGCCUUCCCAAGUGGAAGCUAAAAAGGAGCUGCCUCUUGGUGACAUCAAUGUGAGCCCUGAACUGUACCUAAAGCCUAACUGCGCAUGGACUUGUCGCUGAAAGAUUGUUAAGGAAUUUUCUGGACCUUAUCAAGGCCUUGGCCUUAGGAAAUGCAGAAAGUCUUGUGAGGUGACUACACUUCCUUGCCCGUCACAGUGCUCAGCGUCCA